GAAUAUUCACAUCCUUCAAUCAAUACAAAAACGUAAUGAAAAGAUCCCCAUGAUAAAAGAGAGAAAUUAAACACACACAAAUUAAAGAAAUAUAAAGAAUGGAACUAGUGAAAGGUGGUCCAUUACUAUUACAGCAAUUCAAAGCUCUAUUUUUUAAAAACGUAUUGCUUUCAUGGCGUCACAAAUGGGCAACCAUUAUCCAACUCUUCUCUUCUUUAAUUUUUAUUUUUUUGAUGUUUUCUAUCCAAAAAGCAAUAGAAACGCAAUUCAAGAAUACUACUUACUACGACACCGUUUUGGAUCCUACGUCUAUUAUUUUUCCUUCCAUUUCUCCAUGUGAAGAUAAGUUCUUCGUUAAACUUCCUUGCUUUGAUUUCGUGUAUAGUGGAAAUUCCAGUAAUAAUGUCAAUCGCAUCGUCUCCAGCAUUAUGGCUAACAAUCCUGGCCGUCCAAUUCCUGCUUCUAAGGUUCAGUCCUUUACAACAGAAGCUGAUGUUGAUGCAUGGCUUCUUAGUAAUCCGAUGUAUUGCUCAGGAGUGUUGCAUUUCAUGGAACGAAACGAGACAACAAUAAGCUAUGGUGUUCAAACUAAUUCUACAGCUGUACAACGAAGAGGGAAGUAUGAAGAUCCUACCUCCAAAUUUCAAAUUCCACUCCAGAUUGCUGCAGAACGUGAGAUAGCAAGAUUUCUUAUUGGAGAUCCAAAUUUUAGCUGGACGAUUGGUUUCAAAGAAUUUGCACACCCUGCUCGAGACCCCUUCUCUGCUAUUGGCACUAUUGGUCCGACCUUUUUCCUUGCCGUUGCCAUGUUUGGUUUUGUGUUCCAGUUGAGUUCCCUAGUGAUGGAGAAAGAACUAAAACUUAGACUGGGGAUGAGUAUGAUGGGACUGUAUGAUACUGCCUAUUGGAUGUCCUGGCUAGCUUGGGAGGGUGUUCUUGUGGUUGUUUCAUCAACUUUCAUCGUACUAUUUGGCAAGAUGUUUCAGUUUGAUUUCUUCUUACACAACAAUACUACAAUCUUGUUCCUUGUCUUCUUUCUGUUCCAAUUAAACAUGACCGUCUUUGCAUUCGCACUAUCAGCUUUCAUUAGCCAAUCAUGUUCAGCCACAAACAUAGGAUUCUACAACUUUAUCAUCGGCAUAAUCUCUGAGAUCGUGACCACAAUUGGAUUUCCUUACAAUAAUAGGUUCUCUCAAACAUACAGAGUCAUAUGGUCUUUAUACCCUCCAAAUUUAUUCGCAAAGGCUCUUCAUACACUCACUAAAGCAAGUAGGAUACAUCAGGACUCUGGAAUGAGCUGGAGCCAAAGGACAAGAUGUGCACCCAAUGACGAUAAUUGUAUUUUGACAAUGAAUGACAUCUUCAUAUGGCUUUUAGGGACGUCUGUUAUGUGGUUUGUCUUGGCUCUUUACUUUGACAAUAUAAUUCCAAACCCUAAUGGAGUACGAAAAUCAGUUUUCUACUUCAUGUACCCUGGAUAUUGGACUGGCAAAGGCGGAAGCAAGGCAGAAGAGGGUGGCCUAUGUACAUGCUUUCAUUCUUCCUCGCAACUCGAGCACCCAACCCCUGAAGAUGAGGAUGUUCUUCAAGAAGAAAACAUUGUAAAACAACAAGCACACGAGGGUGUUGUUGAUUCAAAUAUUGCUAUCCAAAUAUGCGGCCUUGCAAAGGCCUAUCCGAGAUCAACAACUCUUGGAUGUUGUAUAUGCAAGAAAACCCCUCCUUACCAUGCUCUCAAGGGCUUAUGGUUGAAUCUUGCCGAGGAUCAGCUAUUUUGCCUCUUAGGACCUAAUGGAGCUGGUAAAACUACAGCAAUCAAUUGUUUGACUGGAAUUACGCCAAUCACCAAUGGAGAUGCAUUAGUCCAAGGACAUUCCAUCCGAAACUCUGUUGGCAUGUCAAGGAUUCGAAAAAUGAUAGGCGUGUGUCCACAGUUUGAUAUUCUGUGGGAUGUAUUGACGGGUGAAGAGCACCUCAACCUCUUUGCAAAUAUCAAAGGUUUACAUUGUGAAGCAAUUUCGAUGGUUGUUCAGAAUUCUCUAACAGAGGUCAGACUAAUUAAUGCUGCUAAAAUGAGGGCUUCAAGUUACAGUGGAGGAAUGAAACGUCGGCUAAGUGUUGCAAUUGCACUUGUAGGUGAUCCUAGAGUAAUAAUACUUGAUGAACCCACAACAGGUAUGGAUCCAAUUAGCAGGAGACAUGUAUGGGACAUAAUAGAAAAAGCAAAACGAGGACGAUCCAUAAUUUUAACGACACACUCCAUGGAAGAAGCGGACACAUUGAGUGACCGUAUUGGAAUUAUGGUUAAAGGAAAACUCAGGUGCAUUGGAACUUCCAUCAGAUUGAAAUCGCGCUUUGGUACUGGUUUCGUUGCUCAUUUGACCUUCGCUGAAAACGUUAAUGGAAUAUCUGCCAGAGGAGAUGCUAAUUAUAUGAGCUCCUCUGCUGCUGUCAUACAAUUCUUUAAGCAUCGUCUAGGUGUGGUGCCUAAAGAGGAGAAUCAAUCCUUCCUGUCUUUUGUUAUCCCUCAUGAAAAAGAGCAGCUACUAACGAACUUGAAGAAAGACUUGGAGAAUUCGGUAUAGUUGAUAUCCAACUUGGUCUUACGAGUUUGGAAGAAGUUUUCCUAAAUAUUGAAGGCCAAGCUAAGAAGGAACAUGUUCCAGCUGAGGGAAAAUUAUAUUAGAGAUGUCGUUGAGAUACCUGGUCGGUAUGUAAGGAUCUUGCAGAUUAUUUCCAAAGUGCCACCUAGAAUUUACAACGAUUGUAGCGGAUAUUUUUUGGUAGAAUAAUGUACAUGGAACAAGAUGAUUAUGUUGAUUUGUUCAUUUCAGGGGCCGGGUACUCCCCUGAAGUUGCCAUAUAUAUCUAAAUGUGCAGCUACCAUUACGGGCAGGCAACACACAACACCUCCCGCCAAAAUGUGUUUGGUCAAAGAGGGAAGAUUCUUGGUCUUGUUGUAAACCUUGACCAAAUUUCUAAAAUAAUUUUCGGAAAAUAGAAUAUUUGUAGAUAUAGUGGUACUUUCAUGCUAUACUACAUACAAAUAUAGUUGUUUUAUACAUGUACUAGCAUUUUUUGCAUGAUAUGCAUGAGUGUCAUAUUAACAUUUUUUUCUCAAUUAGAGAAGGAAAUAUAAA
Beta vulgaris subsp. vulgaris (sugar beet) is the source of this 3140-nucleotide RNA transcript. It is a transcript of the gene named ABC transporter A family member 2, with no coding region annotated. The transcript has 16 exons. The record is from RefSeq and is a predicted model, not a curated record. NCBI's taxonomy places the organism in Eukaryota, Viridiplantae, Streptophyta, Magnoliopsida, Caryophyllales, Amaranthaceae.